CGCGAAACCUUUACACUGCACGCAAGUGCGAUAAGGGGACCCCGAGUGCGAGGGCAUACAGUCCUCGCUUUUCACUACCGUACGAUGGUAGUGGAAUAAGAGCUGGGCAAGACCGGUGCCAGCCGCCGCGGUAAUACCGGCAGCUCGAGUGAUGGCCGAUCUUAUUGGGCCUAAAGCGUUCGUAGCCGGCCACACAAGUCCACCGGGAAAUCCGCCAGCCCAACUGGCGGGCGUCCGGUGGAAACUGUGUGGCUAGGGACCGGAAGACCCGAAGGGUACGUCUUGGGUAGGAGUGAAAUCCUGUAAUCCUGGACGGACCGCCGAUAGCGAAAGCACUUCGGGAAGACGGAUCCGACGGUGAGGGACGAAAGCCAGGGUCUCGAACCGGAUUAGAUACCCGGGUAGUCCUGGCCGUAAACGAUGUCUGCUAGGUGUGGCUCCCACUACGAGUGGGUGCUGUGCCGUAGGGAAGCCGCUAAGCAGACCGCCUGGGAAGUACGUCCGCAAGGAUGAAACUUAAAGGAAUUGGCGGGGGAGCACUACAACCGGAGGAGCCUGCGGUUUAAU
This 567-nucleotide ribosomal RNA is filed under the name uncultured haloarchaeon. RNAcentral's name for it is "bacterial SSU rRNA". It matches the Rfam family "Archaeal small subunit ribosomal RNA", at positions 340 to 906 of the family's 1478-position model. The record is from RNAcentral. Lineage: Archaea; Methanobacteriati; Methanobacteriota; Halobacteria; Halobacteriales; Halobacteriaceae.